CGGAUAGGACCAUGGCCUUCAUGGGUUUGUGGUGGAAAGCUUUUGCGGUGUGGGAUGGGCCCGCGGCCUAUCAGCUUGUUGGUGGGGUAAUGGCCUACCAAGGCGACGACGGGUAGCCGGCCUGAGAGGGUGACCGGCCACACUGGGACUGAGAUACGGCCCCAGACUCCUACGGGAGGCAGCAGUGGGGAAUAUUGCACAAUGGGCGCAAGCCUGAUGCAGCGACGCCGCGUGGGGGAUGACGGCCUUCGGGUUGUAAACCUCUUUCAGCACAGACGAAGCGUGAGUGACGGUAUGUGCAGAAGAAGCACCGGCCAACUACGUGCCAGCAGCCGCGGUAAUACGUAGGGUGCGAGCGUUGUCCGGAAUUACUGGGCGUAAAGAGCUCGUAGGUGGUUUGUCGCGUUGUUCGUGAAAACUCACAGCUUAACUGUGGGCGUGCGGGCGAUACGGGCAGACUGGAGUACUGCAGGGGAGACUGGAAUUCCUGGUGUAGCGGUGGAAUGCGCAGAUAUCAGGAGGAACACCGGUGGCGAAGGCGGGUCUCUGGGCAGUAACUGACGCUGAGGAGCGAAAGCGUGGGGAGCGAACAGGAUUAGAUACCCUGGUAGUCCACGCCGUAAACGGUGGGU
Molecule: ribosomal RNA, 632 nt
Filed under: Mycobacterium sp. H28
Lineage: Bacteria; Bacillati; Actinomycetota; Actinomycetes; Mycobacteriales; Mycobacteriaceae
Description: bacterial SSU rRNA
Rfam family: Bacterial small subunit ribosomal RNA
Source: RNAcentral